GACGAACGCUGGCGGCGUGCCUAAUACAUGCAAGUUGAGCGCUGAAGGUUGGUACUUGUACCCACUGGAUGAGCAGCGAACGGGUGAGUAACGCGUGGGGAAUCUGCCUUUGAGCGGGGGACAACAUUUGGAAACGAAUGCUAAUACCGCAUAAAAACUUUAAACACAAGUUUUAAGUUUGAAAGAUGCAAUUGCAUCACUCAAAGAUGAUCCCGCGUUGUAUUAGCUAGUUGGUGAGGUAAAGGCUCACCAAGGCGAUGAUACAUAGCUGACCUGAGAGGGUGAUCGGCCACAUUGGGACUGAGACACGGCCCAAACGCCUACGGGAGGCAGCAGGAGGGAAUCUUCGGCAAUGGACGAAAGUCUGACCGAGCAACGCCGCGUGAGUGAAGAAGGUUGUCGGAUCGUAAAACUCUGUUGGUAGAGAAGAACGUUGGUGAGAGUGGAAAGCUCAUAAAGUGACGGUAACUACCCAGAAAGGGACGGCUAACUACGUG
Molecule: ribosomal RNA, 497 nt
Filed under: uncultured bacterium
Lineage: Bacteria
Description: partial 16S ribosomal RNA
Rfam family: Bacterial small subunit ribosomal RNA
Source: RNAcentral